This 3056-nucleotide long non-coding RNA is filed under the name Sorghum bicolor (sorghum). RNAcentral describes it as "long non-coding RNA (SBIC_LNC016975)". Lineage: Eukaryota; Viridiplantae; Streptophyta; Magnoliopsida; Poales; Poaceae. The record is from RNAcentral.
GUCCAUCCAUUUUUUUUGUGUGUCUUCCUCUAACUAAUGAACGAUAAAGAGUUUCUUUUAUCUGGACUUAUAUAUAUAACCCAUGCUCAUACGAGUUAGAAUAACUUGCAUCUAAACCAACAUGGAGUAGAAGUCCUAAUAUAGAUAGAUUCCUCACAUCCUAAGUAUUCUAAAUAGAACUCUUAAUAGUCAAACAUAAAAGGAUAAGAAUUACAUUUUUUAUUUUGCUCCGCUUUCUUUAUUUAGUUAGAUGUCAAUCUGAGGCAAAAGAAAAAUCAAAGUCCUAAUCUGUAGUUCCUUCUUCUUCUUCUUUAAUACUCCCUCCAUCCUAAAUUAUAAGUCAUUCCAAUAAUCUUAGAGAGUCAAAGCAUUUUUAGUUUGACUAAAUUUAUAUGAUAGCAUAAUAAUAUUUAUGUACCAUCUAAAUAUCAUUAGGUUCUUUAUUAGUUAUAUUUUUAUAGUAAUAUCUAUUUGAUGUCAUAAACCUUUCUAUUUUUUCUAUAAUGUUGGUCAAACUUAAGAUGCUUUGACUCUCCAAGAUUCUUGAAAUGACUUAUAAAUUAGGAUGGAGGGAGUAAUAAAAAAGGCAAAAUUUCUCAUCGUUUUGGAUUUUGGUCGAGCCCAACUAUUCGCUUGUUUCGGUCUAAAAUUAAUUGGUUUAGAGCAACUCCAGCCCACCUCCUAAACAAGCCCCUAUUCUGAAUCUAGGGACUUGAUCAAAAAAAUCAACUCCAACCCACCUCCUACUUGAGCUCCCAUUUUUCAUGUCCUCCCAAAUUAUAGUUUCAGCCCCUCACAUCUAGAACCCCCUAUCCAAUGGAUCGCACCAACUUUCCUCUCCCCACCCAUAAUCAAGACAAGAAUAUGUGAGAUAAGGACUUGGUCUAUUUUUUUUCAUUGGAGUUGGGUCUUAAUUUGAGUCCCUAGUUCUUUUAUCAUAGUUUGUAAAUAAAAGUUUAAGGGCUUCAUUUAGAGACUUGGGCUGGAGUUGCUCUUAAACUUGUGUUAGGCUUCAAGUUAGAUUUAGCCUAUAACUUUUUUUCUCUAACCCAAUUGGACCAGAAGUCCUCGUGUCAUAAACAGAAAAUAAGCUAAAAAUAAUAGGAAACCAGAUCCAAAUGAGAUGAGCAUUAUUUAAUUAAUCUUUAGACCGGCGGAUAUAUAAAGAUAUAGUGGACUGAAAUUUUCACAAUUAUAUAUUAGAGAAAGACUUAUUUCUUAGUAUUUUUUCUUUACUUAUUUUUUUUGUUGUUAUGUAGUAAAAAGGCAGUCUAUUAAUAGAACUCGUUCCAGAGUUUGAUUCCUAGUGUUAGUUAGGAAAAGACGUCGGAUGUGGAAGAUUUUCUUUUUUGCCGUAACUGAUUUCCAUUUGUAAGAUUUUUUGUGGUAACUUUUUUUUUGCCGUAAUUGGUUUUCUUUUUUUUCCUUCCAUUUGUUUUUUUAUGGUACUUUUUUACGUGGGGAGGGUUUGAUUUUUUUUUGCCGUAGUUGUUUUCCUUUUUUGUCGUAUUUUUUAGAUUGAAAACGGGAAGUUGGGUUUUUUUUAGAACUUUUUUUGGCGUAUUUUUUUCCUGGAUUGGAUUGGAAACGGGAAUGUUACCGUGAGUUAGAAUUGGAUACGAAUUGAGCUGGUCAUCGAAGAGUGCUGGAUGUAAAAAUCGUGUCGUGUGCGGGAUGUGCGGAUCGGAUACCGUAUCAACAUGGAUAGAGUCGAGACAACGUCAGCUCGCAGCUGGCCCGUGAGAACCACCAACCACGCCGAUAGUUGCACGUCUCCGAAGUGCACGUACGGAGACCGCACCGCCCCCGGGGUAAGGCGGACAGAAAGGUGGACCGAAGAGGGUGGACAGAAUUUUUUGGGCAGACUGAAAUUUUCACAAUUUAGUAGUAGGUAUAGAUGCAACAUCAGGUCAUGAGUUCGAUUCUCAGCUACAACAAAUAUGGGAUUGUUUCUCUUUUUUUCCAUGCAUAUCCUUGAGGGUCAUCGGCACUUAAGAAAACAUUUAUCCUUGAGUGUUUUUAUAUUUUCUUGGGUGCCAUCGGCACUCAAGGAAAUCUAUAUCCUUGGGUGUUUUUAUAUUUUCUUGAGUGUCAUUGGCACUCAAGGAAACCUAUAUCCUUGGGUGUCGUUAGAUUUUCUUGAUGAUAUUAAAAAUCUGACCACUGAUUUAUUUUCUUGACGGUUUAACCCUCAAGGAAUUGAUUUGUGGCGGCCGGCACUCAAGGAAAUAGUAUUUCCUUGUCUCUCUACCCUUGGCGGCCAUUUCUUGAGUGCUAGCCGCCAAUAUUGAUUUCCUUGGCGGUUUUAGGGGUUUCCUUGAUGAAAGAGCAUCUAGGCCCCCAGUGAUUUCGGUGAUUAAUGACAUCAUGAUUACUAUGACUAACGUGUGUUUUGCAGAGGCAAAGUCAUAGGUAAGGUCAUGGUAUAUAGGUACUCGAUGGACAGGGACGUACAUGCCUACUUAAUAGUGGAAAUCGUUUCGGUUUUCAAAAGAUGGUUGGACAUCGUCAAGACUAGACUAGGUCUAAGUGCCAUAUGGCGAAGAAGGGCACUUAGAGUAGUUUAGGACUUUGUUUUCCUUUGACCGUACUAUUAAGAGGGGCUUUGAUCUAGUAGCUUGACUUAGACAAGGCUUUAAGUUUUGGUGUGGUGCACACUUAGUAAACCUAGCACUAGGCAGCUCAGAGAUAGUCCUUAGAUCGAGAGGAACAAACUUCGUUUUGGAGCGAUCGCGUUUCGACGAAGUUUGGGUGCCCAAAGGGGCACCGGACGCUGCACCGAACACUCUGUGAGUGCGUCCGGUGAGGUCCCUAGCCGUUAGAAUAGUGUGGUGCUUAGGGUUAGGCACCGGACGCUAGCACCGGACGCACCGAGUAGCGUCCGGUCCCUUACCCAGGGAGGUUGCAAGCCUUCCCUGAGCACCGGACGCGCCGGGUAGCGUCCGGUCCCAUGCGCAGGGAGCAUGUAAAGUUUUCCCGAGCACCGGACGGUGCACCGGACGCUGGGAGUUAGCGUCCGGUGACCUGUCAGAGAAAAGUGCAGGUAGCCGUUAUGA